Molecule: transfer RNA, 73 nt
Filed under: Camelus bactrianus (Bactrian camel)
Lineage: Eukaryota; Metazoa; Chordata; Mammalia; Artiodactyla; Camelidae
Also listed under: 1 other name
Rfam family: tRNA
About the family: Transfer RNA (tRNA) molecules are approximately 80 nucleotides in length. Their secondary structure includes four short double-helical elements and three loops (D, anti-codon, and T loops).
Source: Rfam by way of RNAcentral
GAGGAUAUAGCUCAAGUGGUAGAGUGCCUGCUUUGCAUGCAUGAGGCCCUGGGUUCUAUCCCCAGUACCUCCU